Molecule: long non-coding RNA, 1050 nt
Filed under: Nothobranchius furzeri (turquoise killifish)
Lineage: Eukaryota; Metazoa; Chordata; Actinopteri; Cyprinodontiformes; Nothobranchiidae
Description: lncRNA (ENSNFUG00015002554.1)
Source: RNAcentral
AUGCCACCAGUCCAGUCAGCGCCAGGUCCCGCCCCACCAGUCCAGUCAGCGCAAGGUCCCGCGCCACCAGUCCAGUCAGCGUCAGGUCCUGCGCCACCAGUCCAGUCAGCACCAGUUCCAGCGGUGGUCCAGCAUGCUCCGCCCCCGGGCCAGCCUGUCCAGUGGUCAGCACCCAGUCCGGCAGCACCAGCCAAGUCGGCGGCCCCUCCUCCACUCCAGAAGUCGACGCCUCCGGUCCAGAAGUCGACGCCUCCGGUCCAGAAGUGGAAGGUUCCGGUUCAGAAGUCGAUGGUUCCGGUCCAGAGGUCGAUGGUCCAGAGUUCGACGGUCCAGAAGUCGAUGCCCCAGGACCAGAAGUCGACGGCCCCGGACAAGAAGUCGACGUCCCCGGACCAGAAGUCGACAAAGGUCGAUGCCCUUUCCAGUCCAGAGGUCGACGCUCUUUCCAGUCCAGAGGUCGACGGUCUUUCCAGUCCUGAGGUUGACGCUCUUUCCAGUCCUGAGGUCGACGCUCUUUCCAGUCCUGAGGUCGACGCUCUUUCCAGUCCUGAGGUCGACGCUCUUUCCAGUCCUGAGGUCGACGCUCUUUCCAGUCCAGAGGUCGACGCUCUUUCCAGUCCAGAGGUCGACGCUCUUUCCAGUCCAGAGGUCGAUGCUCUUUCCAGUCCAGAGUUCGACGCUCUUUCCAGUCCAGAGGUCGACACUCUUUCCAGUCCAGAGGUCGACGCUCCUUCGUGUCCAGAUGUCGACGCCCCUUUGUGUCCAGAGGUUGACGCCCCUUUGUGUCCAGAGGUCGACGUCCCCUCCUGUCCAGAGGUCGACGUCCCCUCCAGUCCAGAGGUCGACGCUCUUUCCAGUCCUGAGGUCGAUGCUCUUUCCACACCCUGUCUGUCCCCUCAUUCUGUUCAGCCUUGUGUCUCUGUUAAUUGCUCCCACCUGCCUCUCGUUUUCCAAUCACCCAAGCUCCCAGCCCUCUUGUAUUUAAACCUCUUCAGCUCUGUGUCUCGUGUUGGCUCAUUGUUCCCAUGUCCUGUAUGCGUUUGCUAUUAA